GUUGUAGUUCAGUGGUAGAGCACUUGCCUAGCACAUGCGAGGCACUGGGUUCAAUCCUCAGCACCACA
Molecule: transfer RNA, 68 nt
Filed under: Marmota monax (woodchuck)
Lineage: Eukaryota; Metazoa; Chordata; Mammalia; Rodentia; Sciuridae
Description: tRNA.Ala
Source: RNAcentral